AUCACGUGGUGUGGAACGUCACGCCCGCGCUGCACACGCCGCUCAUGGCGGUGACCAACGCCAUCUCGGCGAUCGUGAUCGUCGGCGCGAUGC
RNAcentral lists this transfer RNA (93 nucleotides) under Pandoraea pulmonicola. RNAcentral describes it as "tRNA-Cys(gca)". The record is from RNAcentral. Lineage: Bacteria; Pseudomonadati; Pseudomonadota; Betaproteobacteria; Burkholderiales; Burkholderiaceae.